RNAcentral lists this ribosomal RNA (468 nucleotides) under uncultured bacterium. RNAcentral describes it as "partial 16S ribosomal RNA". It matches the Rfam family "Bacterial small subunit ribosomal RNA", at positions 28 to 507 of the family's 1533-position model. The record is from RNAcentral.
GACGAACGCUGGCGGCGUGCUUAACACAUGCAAGUCGAACGGAAAGGCCCUGCUUUUGUGGGGUGCUCGAGUGGCGAACGGGUGAGUAACACGUGAGUAACCUGCCCUUGACUUUGGGAUAACUUCAGGAAACUGGGGCUAAUACCGGAUAGGAGCUCCUGCUGCAUGGUGGGGGUUGGAAAGUUUCGGCGGUUGUGGAUGGACUCGCGGCUUAUCAGCUUGUUGGUGGGGUAGUGGCUUACCAAGGCUUUGACGGGUAGCCGGCCUGAGAGGGUGACCGGCCACAUUGGGACUGAGAUACGGCCCAGACUCCUACGGGAGGCAGAAGUGGGGAAUAUUGCACAAUGGGCGGAAGCCUGAUGCAGCAACGCCGCGUGCGGGAUGACGGCCUUCGGGUUGUAAACCGCUUUCGCCUGUGACGAAGCGUGAGUGACGGUAAUGGGUAAAGAAGCACCGGCUAACUACGUG